RNAcentral lists this ribosomal RNA (1506 nucleotides) under uncultured bacterium. RNAcentral describes it as "bacterial SSU rRNA". It matches the Rfam family "Bacterial small subunit ribosomal RNA". The record is from RNAcentral.
AGAGUUUGAUCCUGGCUCAGGAUGAACGCUGGCGGCGUGCCUAAUACAUGCAAGUCGGACGAAGCAUCUUCAGAAACUUGUUUCAGGAGAUGACUGAGUGGCGAACGGGUGAGUAACGCGUUGGUGACCUGCCCCGGAGAGGGGGAUAACAGUUCGAAAGGACUGCUAAUACCCCAUGAAUUCUAGGAAGUUAGAGGAUUCUAGAAGAAAGGCCUCGGUCGCUUCGGGAGGGACCUGCGUCCCAUCAGCUAGUUGGUAGGGUAACGGCCUACCAAGGCGAAGACGGGUAGGGGACCUGAGAGGGUGACCCCCCACAAUGGAACUGAAACACGGUCCAUACACCUACGGGUGGCAGCAGUAGGGAAUAUUGCACAAUGGGCGAAAGCCUGAUGCAGCAACGCCGCGUGUGCGAAGAAGGCCUUCGGGUUGUAAAGCACUUUUCGGGGAGAAGAGGAAGGACGGUAUCCCCAGAAUAAGGUUCGGCUAACUACGUGCCAGCAGCCGCGGUAAAACGUAGGAACCGAGCGUUAUCCGAAUUCACUGGGCGUAAAGCGCAUGCAGGCGGUACGUUAAGUUGGAUGUGAAAGCUCCCGGCUCAACUGGGAGAGGACGUACAAAACUGGCGAACUAGAGGGCGGCAGAGGGAGGUGGAAUUCCCGGUGUAGUGGUGAAAUGCGUAGAUAUCGGGAGGAACACCAGAGGCGAAGGCGGCCUCCUGGGCCGCGCCUGACGCUAAGAUGCGAAAGCUAGGGGAGCGAACGGGAUUAGAAACCCCGGUAGUCCUAGCUGUAAACGAUGUAGACUUGGUGUUGGUGGGGUAAAAGCCAUCAGUGCCGGAGCAAACGCGGUAAGUCUACCGCCUGGGGACUACGGCCGCAAGGCUAAAACUCAAAGGAAUUGACGGGGGCCCGCACAAGCAGCGGAGCGUGUGGUUUAAUUCGAUGCUACGCGAAGAACCUUACCCGGGUUUGACAUUGAGGUGGUAGGGAAUCGAAAGAGGACCGACCCUUCGGGGAGCCUGAACAGGUGCUGCAUGGCUGUCGUCAGCUCGUGCCGUGAGGUGUCCGGUUAAGUCCGGUAACGGGCGCAACCCUUGCCGUAUGUUACAAGUGUCAUACGGGACUGCCGGUAUAAAGCCGGAGGAAGGUGGGGAUGACGUCAAGUCAGCAUGGCCUUUAUAUCCGGGGCUACACACACGCUACAAUGGUCAGUACAAUAGGUAGCAAAACUGCGAAGUGGGGCCAAUCCAUAAAGCUGGCCACAGUUCAGAUUGCAGGCUGCAACUCGCCUGCAUGAAGUCGGAGUUGCUAGUAACCGCGCGUCAGCAACAGUGCGGUGAAUACGUUCCCGGGCCUUGUACACACCGCCCGUCACGUCAUGGAAGCUGGCAACACCUGAAGCCGGUAUCCUAACCGAAAGGAGGGAGCCGUCGAAGGUGGGGUUGGUGACUGGGACGAAGUCGUAACAAGGUAGGUGUACCGGAAGGUGCGGCUGGAUCACCUCCUU